GACGAACGCUGGCGGCGUGCCUAAUACAUGCGAGUUGAGCGCUGAAGGUUGGUACUUGUACCAACUGGAUGAGCAGCGAACGGGUGAGUAACGCGUGGGGAAUCUGCCUUUGAGCGGGGGACAACAUUUGGAAACGAAUGCUAAUACCGCAUAAAAACUUUAAAUACAAGUUUUAAGUUUGAAAGAUGCAAUUGCAUCACUCAAAGAUGAUCCCGCGUUGUAUUAGCUAGUUGGUGAGGUAAAGGCUCACCAAGGCGAUGAUACAUAGCCGACCUGAGAGGGUGAUCGGCCACAUUGGGACUGAGACACGGCCCAAACUCCUACGGGAGGCAGCAGUAGGGAAUCUUCGGCAAUGGACGAAAGUCUGACCGAGCAACGCCGCGUGAGUGAAGAAGGUUUUCGGAUCGUAAAACUCUGUUGGUAGAGAAGAACGUUGGUGAGAGUGGAAAGCUCAUCAAGUGACGGUAACUACCCAGAAAGGGACGGCUAACUACGUG
RNAcentral lists this ribosomal RNA (497 nucleotides) under uncultured bacterium. RNAcentral's name for it is "partial 16S ribosomal RNA". It matches the Rfam family "Bacterial small subunit ribosomal RNA", at positions 28 to 507 of the family's 1533-position model. The record is from RNAcentral.